Molecule: ribosomal RNA, 292 nt
Filed under: uncultured bacterium
Lineage: Bacteria
Description: partial 16S ribosomal RNA
Source: RNAcentral
GGACUACUGGGGUAUCUAAUCCUGUUUGCUCCCCACGCUUUCGCACAUGAGCGUCAAUGCCAGACCAGGUAGUCGCCUUCGCCACUGGUGUUCUUCCGAAUAUCUACGAAUUUCACCUCUACACUCGGAAUUCCACUACCCUCUUCUGGAUUCUAGCUCGACAGUCUUAAAAGCAAUUCCCAGGUUAAGCCCGGGGCUUUCACUUCUAAUUUAUCGAGCCGCCUGCGUGCGCUUUACGCCCAGUAAUUCCGAACAACGCUAGCCCCCUUCGUAUUACCGCGGCUGCUGGCAC